UACGUAGGUGGCAAGCGUUGUCCGGAAUUAUUGGGCGUAAAGCGCGCGCAGGCGGUCCUUUAAGUCUGAUGUGAAAGCCCACGGCUCAACCGUGGAGGGUCAUUGGAAACUGGGGGACUUGAGUACAGAAGAGAAGAGUGGAAUUCCACGUGUAGCGGUGAAAUGCGUAGAGAUGUGGAGGAACACCAGUGGCGAAGGCGGCUUUCUGGACAGUAACUGACGCUGAGGCGCGAAAGCUAGGGGAGCGAACAGG
Molecule: ribosomal RNA, 253 nt
Filed under: uncultured bacterium
Lineage: Bacteria
Description: partial 16S ribosomal RNA
Rfam family: Bacterial small subunit ribosomal RNA
Source: RNAcentral